This 253-nucleotide ribosomal RNA is filed under the name uncultured bacterium. Its description in RNAcentral is "partial 16S ribosomal RNA". It matches the Rfam family "Bacterial small subunit ribosomal RNA", at positions 524 to 776 of the family's 1533-position model. The record is from RNAcentral.
GACGUAGGGGGCCAGCGUUGCUCGGAAUUACUGGGCGUAAAGGGUUCGUAGGCGGUGUGGCAAGUCGGGCGUGAAAUCUCUGGGCUUAACUCAGAGGCUGCUUCCGAAACUGCCGUGCUAGAGUGCGGGAGAGGCGAGUGGAAUUGCAGGUGUAGCGGUGAAAUGCGUAGAUAUCUGCAGGAACACCCGUGGCGAAGGCGGCUCGCUGGACCGCAACUGACGCUGAGGAACGAAAGCUAGGGGAGCAAACAGG